Molecule: long non-coding RNA, 993 nt
Organism: Clupea harengus (Atlantic herring)
Lineage: Eukaryota; Metazoa; Chordata; Actinopteri; Clupeiformes; Clupeidae
Source: Ensembl
CUUGCCAUGAGCAGGCCACUGCCUGUAGAGGUGGCAACACCAAAAGCAGGGAGGAUGGAGACCUGAGUGUCACCACAAGUCAUGGCUCAGGUCAACCAAAGAUCUCUCUUUGGGCGCAGCUACCGUUGGAUCGCCUGCCAUGCAGUGAGCCCAUGGAUGAUAUGGAGCCUUCGGCAACAUCUACUUUUAACCAGGCCAACCAAGAACAAUCGCAGGGACCCAAGACAGUCAGUCUGUCACAUUGUGAGAGACGCAUCAAAAACAAAGUUGCGCACAAGCGCUGGAGACUGGGCUUCUUGAUGAUCAAAAUUGUGAGGAUGCUGCUGCCAGCAAGGCUUAAAACACAAACGCCAACUUCUCUCAGAGUCAAAACCAAGACUGUGAGAACAGCCACCAGGCUUCCUUGUUUCCUCACACGGUCAAAGAGUGAGGCAGAAAACUCCAACCCGACACCCAUCCUGAUGUUCUCCCAAGUCAUCAGACCGUCCUUCAUCCCUGACAUGGUCCGGCAGAGGCUGGAGGCUCAUGUGCGCCGUAAGACAAGUCAGCGCCUGUGGGGCUUUCCCAAUCUGGUCAUCAAAUAUGUGGGAGACCAUGUGGUCCUACUGAGUGCCAGUAAUGGAUGACACCUUUAAUGACAUGGUCUUCGAUUCACUCAACAAAUGGGCUGAAUGCAGUUUUAUGGACAGUAGUGAAUGCACCCUCGGGCUCUUCCUCUCUCACCUGAGUCGGAUAGAAAAUUUACUGGAGGCUGAUGGCUCCUCUGAGGAUUCUUCAGACAUCACCUGUGCUGGGUCUUGCCAUGAGCAGGCCACUUCCUGUAGAGAUGGCAACACCAAAAGCAGGGAGGAUGGAGACCUGAGUGUCACCACAAGUCAUGGCUCAGGUCAACUAAAGAUCUCUCUUUGGACGCAGCUACCGUUGGAUCGCCUGCCAUGCAGUGAGCCCAUGGAUGAUAUGGAGCCUUCGACAACAUCUACUUUUAACCAGGCC